GGUGUUUUUUUCCAAUUUCUUACUAGGAAAGUUAGCCCCAAUUUGUCCUACAUCACCAAUUGUCCUUAAUAAAAAGGCUUUACUAAAUCUAAAGUUGUAAUUUUCUGAAUUUAUUUCCAACUGAUCUCCAAAUUCAACAAUAAAACCUUCAAUUUCGAAAUUCUUGUAAGAUAAUUUAAAAUUCAACCAACAUUUGUUCAAAG
Molecule: long non-coding RNA, 203 nt
Filed under: Carica papaya (papaya)
Lineage: Eukaryota; Viridiplantae; Streptophyta; Magnoliopsida; Brassicales; Caricaceae
Description: long non-coding RNA (CPAP_LNC005091)
Source: RNAcentral